GCUUAACACAUGCAAGUCGAGGGGCAGCAUGGUCUUAGCUUGCUAAGGCCGAUGGCGACCGGCGCACGGGUGAGUAACACGUAUCCAACCUGCCGUCUACUCUUGGACAGCCUUCUGAAAGGAAGAUUAAUACAAGAUGGCAUCAUGAGUCCGCAUGUUCACAUGAUUAAAGGUAUUCCGGUAGACGAUGGGGAUGCGUUCCAUUAGAUAGUAGGCGGGGUAACGGCCCACCUAGUCUUCGAUGGAUAGGGGUUCUGAGAGGAAGGUCCCCCACAUUGGAACUGAGACACGGUCCAAACUCCUACGGGAGGCAGCAGUGAGGAAUAUUGGUCAAUGGGCGAGAGCCUGAACCAGCCAAGUAGCGUGAAGGAUGACUGCCCUAUGGGUUGUAAACUUCUUUUAUAAAGGAAUAAAGUCGGGUAUGGAUACCCGUUUGCAUGUACUUUAUGAAUAAGGAUCGGCUAACUCCGUGCCAGCAGCCGCGGUAAUACGGAGGAUCCGAGCGUUAUCCGGAUUUAUUGGGUUUAAAGGGAGCGUAGAUGGAUGUUUAAGUCAGUUGUGAAAGUUUGCGGCUCAACCGUAAAAUUGCAGUUGAUACUGGAUAUCUUGAGUGCAGUUGAGGCAGGCGGAAUUCGUGGUGUAGCGGUGAAAUGCUUAGAUAUCACGAAGAACUCCGAUUGCGAAGGCAGCCUGCUAAGCUGCAACUGACAUUGAGGCUCGAAAGUGUGGGUAUCAAACAGGAUUAGAUACCCUGGUAGUUCACACGGUAAACGAUGAAUUCUCGCUGUUUGCGAUAUACAGCAAAGCGGCCAAGCGAAAGCGUUAAGUUAUUCCACCUGGGGAGUACGCCGGCAACGGUGAAACUCAAAGGAAUUGACGGGGGCCCGCACAAGCGGAGGAACAUGUGGUUUAAUUCGAUGAUACGCGAGGAACCUUACCCGGGCUUAAAUUGCAGAUGAAUUACGGUGAAAGCCGUAAGCCGCAAGGCAUCUGUGAAGGUGCUGCAUGGUUGUCGUCAGCUCGUGCCGUGAGGUGUCGGCUUAAGUGCCAUAACGAGCGCAACCCUUGUUGUCAGUUACUAACAGGUUCCGCUGAGGACUCUGACAAGACUGCCAUCGUAAGAUGUGAGGAAGGUGGGGAUGACGUCAAAUCAGCACGGCCCUUACGUCCGGGGCUACACACGUGUUACAAUGGGGGGUACAGAGGGCCGCUACCACGCGAGUGGAUGCCAAUCCCAAAAACCUCUCUCAGUUCGGACUGGAGUCUGCAACCCGACUCCAGGAAGCUGGAUUCGCUAGUAAUCGCGCAUCAGCCACGGCGCGGUGAAUACGUUCCCGGGCCUUGUACACACCGCCCGUCAAGCCAUGGGAGCCGGGGGUACCUGAAGUGCGUAACCGCGAGGAGCGCCCUAGGGUAAAACUGGUGACUGGGGCUAAGU
Molecule: ribosomal RNA, 1438 nt
Filed under: uncultured organism
Description: SSU rRNA
Rfam family: Bacterial small subunit ribosomal RNA
Source: RNAcentral